AGCCGGGUCCCGUGCAACGGAGGCGUGUGAACCCCGUCAGGUCCGGAAGGAAGCAGCGGUAGCAAUGACCUCCGGGUGCUGCGGAGAAACCUGGCUAUC
This 99-nucleotide signal recognition particle RNA is filed under the name Syntrophobacterales bacterium. RNAcentral describes it as "signal recognition particle sRNA small type". It matches the Rfam family "Bacterial small signal recognition particle RNA". From Rfam's summary of the family: The signal recognition particle (SRP) is a universally conserved ribonucleoprotein involved in the co-translational targeting of proteins to membranes. Lineage: Bacteria; Pseudomonadati; Thermodesulfobacteriota; Syntrophobacteria; Syntrophobacterales. The record is from RNAcentral.